AUGAGGACUAUAUUUUCCAAUAUUUUGCCGGCAAUGUCUUGUGGACCUGGAGUGGGCAUGAUUCCCGCUAAUCGAGAAGGUCAAACCUCCAUACUGGUUGACAAACAAGGGCAUUGAUGAUAUGCUCCUGGAGGAAUACAAUCCACUUCGGGAAGAAUUAUGGCUGUACUCGCGAAGGAAGAGACAAACAUUCCGAAGGACAUUGCCAGAAAGCAUCAUGAUAUGCCGGUCAUGGAAUUGGCAUGGUGGCAUACCAUGUCAUUAUCCCACUGUUCGCCUCCCAUAAACGCCUUUCCACAGCUUCACCC
This 308-nucleotide small RNA is filed under the name Histoplasma capsulatum. RNAcentral describes it as "hypothetical RNA". RNAcentral also lists the same sequence under 1 other name. The record is from RNAcentral. Lineage: Eukaryota; Fungi; Ascomycota; Eurotiomycetes; Onygenales; Ajellomycetaceae.